AUUUUUUAAAUUUAUCAUGACGGUAAUGGAAAUAAUAUUUUGUUGUAUGGGAAAAAUUGAAAAUAUAAAAAUAUAAUAAAUAUGGCAUAAUGUGAAAGCAAAGUGAUACAUAAAAAAAUUUUGGAAAAAAGUGAUAUAUUUAUAUAUUGUUGAAGCCAAGUCGGAUCAAAAAGAUAUUGUUCCAUAUUCUAAGUGGAUCGAUGAUAACCUAUAAAGGUUUCAUUCUAUCAAAGAAGAUUCAUGAAAAUUGUCCGAAAGAGAAGAAAGAUGGGGCGUUCUAUGGAAAUAAAGAAGUAUGUUCAAGAGCCAUUAAUCUUAUUCGCAGAUAUUGCUAAGAAGAGCAUAUAGUAUUGAAUGUAAAAUAUUACUUUGUAACAAGGAAGUUAAUAAUUGCAGUGUGCAUGAAACUAGAAAUAUGAUCUAAGAUAAACUGAAAGUUGGCAAUACCUUAAGGAAAAAUAUUCUGCAGACAAAAUAAAAUUCCUAAUGUGAAAUAUAAAUUGGAUUCCUACAUUUUCUGAUGAUUCAGAUAUUAGAAGAUUUUCUCGCUGAACUUGUAAGAGAAAGAGAAAGGCAUUUCUAAUGGUGAGAAACUACUGUACACAUUACUGUACAGAUCAUAUGUUAAAAAUAUUCUUAAUGAUCUUUGCUAGAUGAUUAUGAUAGCUCAAUAUUACAAAAUAUACAAAGUCUUACUCAUUCAGAGAUGCCAAAGUAAAUAUUGAGAUAACGAUAGAAGUAGUAAGAUAAAAUCUGUGAAAUCUGUGAUAGCAUUAAUCUCUUAUUAAAAUGAAAUCUUUUAAUAUUUGCCAGUAGAAUCAUUUCAAUUAUAAAUUGUUGGGAAUAGUAUUACAGAUAGAUCAUAGAUUAAAUUUUAAAAAGUACAUGUUAUAAUUUAAAGGAUCAUU
Vespa mandarinia (Asian giant hornet) is the source of this 908-nucleotide long non-coding RNA. RefSeq lists it as uncharacterized. Lineage: Eukaryota; Metazoa; Arthropoda; Insecta; Hymenoptera; Vespidae. The record is from RefSeq and is a predicted model, not a curated record.